GGACCCGCACAAGUAGUGGAGCAUGUGGUUUAAUUCGAAGAUACGCGCAGAACCUUACCAACACUUGACAUGUUCGUCGCGACUUUAAGAGAUUAAAGUUUUCGGUUCGGCCGGACGAAACACAGGUGCUGCAUGGCUGUCGUCAGCUCGUGUCGUGAGAUGUUGGGUUAAGUCCCGCAACGAGCGCAACCCUCACUUUUAGUUGCCAUCAUUAAGUUGGGCACUCUGAAAGAACUGCCAGUGAUAAGCUGGAGGAAGGUGGGGAUGACGUCAAGUCCUCAUGGCCCUUACGUGUUGGGCUACACACGUGCUACAAUGGUAUCUACAACAGGAAGCAAGACGGCGACGUUAAGCAAAUCCUUAAAAGAUACCUCAGUUCGGAUUGCACUCUGCAACUCGAGUGCAUGAAGCUGGAAUUACUAGUAA
This 426-nucleotide ribosomal RNA is filed under the name uncultured bacterium. Its description in RNAcentral is "bacterial SSU rRNA". It matches the Rfam family "Bacterial small subunit ribosomal RNA", at positions 917 to 1341 of the family's 1533-position model. The record is from RNAcentral.